Aethalodelphis obliquidens (Pacific white-sided dolphin) is the source of this 240-nucleotide long non-coding RNA. RefSeq lists it as uncharacterized. NCBI's taxonomy places the organism in Eukaryota, Metazoa, Chordata, Mammalia, Artiodactyla, Delphinidae. The transcript has 3 exons. The record is from RefSeq and is a predicted model, not a curated record.
CCCAUAUUUUGAGGAAGCUGGGCAUCGAGGGCGAGAUGGAUUCUUGUACCGACCCUUGGAGGGAGUUCUUGGUUGUAGAAGUUCCUGGCACAGGGCACGGUACUUGGGAUACACGUGUGACACAAGACAGCUGGAGACCUUCAGUGACAUACAGCCUACUAGAGGAGCUGCAAAGGAAAUAAGCCACAUGCUUGGCUCCGGACGCGCAGGCUCAGCGGCCAUGGCUCACGGGCCCAGCCG